ACACCGAUGGUGAAGCGGUUAUCAUGCUUGCCUUCCAUAACCAAGAUGUUGCGUGAAGCAAGCGGCAGGGGUUCGACUCCCCUUCGGUGUA
This is a non-coding RNA of Hymenopellis radicata, 91 nucleotides long. Lineage: Eukaryota; Fungi; Basidiomycota; Agaricomycetes; Agaricales; Physalacriaceae. The record is from the annotation of a GenBank genome assembly.